RNAcentral lists this ribosomal RNA (301 nucleotides) under uncultured bacterium. Its description in RNAcentral is "partial 16S ribosomal RNA". It matches the Rfam family "Bacterial small subunit ribosomal RNA", at positions 509 to 807 of the family's 1533-position model. The record is from RNAcentral.
CAGCCGCCGCGGUAAUACGAAGGGGGCUAGCGUUGCUCGGAAUUACUGGGCGUAAAGGGAGCGUAGGCGGAUCGUUAAGUUGGGGGUGAAAGCCCGGGGCUCAACCUCGGAAUUGCCUUCAAUACUGGCGAUCUUGAGUAUGGAAGAGGUAUGUGGAACUCCGAGUGUAGAGGUGAAAUUCGUAGAUAUUCGGAAGAACACCAGUGGCGAAGGCGACAUACUGGUCCAUUACUGACGCUGAGGCUCGAAAGCGUGGGGAGCAAACAGGAUUAGAUACCCCGGUAGUCCCUGUCUCUUAUAC